Molecule: long non-coding RNA, 108 nt
Organism: Thalassophryne amazonica
Lineage: Eukaryota; Metazoa; Chordata; Actinopteri; Batrachoidiformes; Batrachoididae
Exons: 4
Source: RefSeq, a predicted model, not a curated record
CUUUUUCCACCCAGAGCUACUCCCCUGCUCAUAAUGUCUCAGUCUGCACACGAUGAAAUUAUCCCAUGAUCCACAAAACAAGAAAAUAAAAUAAUGUGAAAAUACUCA